Molecule: long non-coding RNA, 212 nt
Organism: Gracilinanus agilis (Agile Gracile Mouse Opossum)
Lineage: Eukaryota; Metazoa; Chordata; Mammalia; Didelphimorphia; Didelphidae
Exons: 3
Source: RefSeq, a predicted model, not a curated record
AAACAUUGUCAUUAUUUUUCAGAUAAGAAGAGUGAGACUCAAAGGGGGAUAAAAUAGAUGAGGCUUGAUGUCUUAGGAGCAUUGCCCUGGCUCAGAAGUUAGGAUCAACUUCAAAGCCACAGGAGGAACUUGGAUUAUGGAGGAUUUUAGACCAUGAAGACUUCAGCACAGAUGGAAACAUUUGGGACACCAUUGUGAAUCAACACAUCCAC